Molecule: ribosomal RNA, 407 nt
Filed under: uncultured bacterium
Lineage: Bacteria
Description: bacterial SSU rRNA
Rfam family: Bacterial small subunit ribosomal RNA
Source: RNAcentral
UGGGGAAUAUUGGGCAAUGGAGGGAACUCUGACCCAGCAAUGCCGCGUGAGUGAAGAAGGUUUUCGGAUUGUAAAGCUCUUUAAGCGGGGACGAAGAAAGUGACUGUACCCGCAGAAUAAGCAUCGGCUAACUACGUGCCAGCAGCCGCGGUAAUACGUAGGAUGCAAGCGUUAUCCGGAAUGACUGGGCGUAAAGGGUGCGUAGGCGGUUUUGCAAGUUGGCAGCGUAAUUCCGGGGCUUAACUCCGGAACUACUGCCAAAACUGUAGGGCUUGAGUGCGGCAGGGGUAUGUGGAAUUCCUAGUGUAGCGGUGGAAUGCGUAGAUAUUAGGAAGAACACCGGAGGCGAAAGCGACAUACUGGGCCGUAACUGACGCUGAGGCACGAAAGCGUGGGGAGCAAACAGG